Long non-coding RNA from Papaver somniferum (opium poppy), 2096 nucleotides. RefSeq lists it as uncharacterized. The record is from RefSeq and is a predicted model, not a curated record. Lineage: Eukaryota; Viridiplantae; Streptophyta; Magnoliopsida; Ranunculales; Papaveraceae. The transcript is spliced from 8 exons.
UCACCAAAACACCACCGCAAGCGAAAAUCCCUAUUUCUCCCCACCACUUACCAUCAUCACUCAACUCUUUCUCUGAAGUCAAGUGAGCUGAUGAUUCUAAACUUGAUAAUUAAACAACCCUGAUCUAUCGAUCGUUCAAUUGUGAUUUUUCAGAGAUAAAACCCUAGACGUUUCUCCACCUUUACAUACCUUUUGCAAGAUGAUUUUCUUUCUGUAAUUUGAACUGAUUUCAAUUCGAUACAAUUGAAUCUGUUUUUCACUGAGGAGAAUCUUUUGGUAUUUGAUUUAUUCGUUCGUAUAUUUGUCUUCUGAUAAUGUUGAAGUAAAAAAGAAAAUUGAAUCUGGAUAGAUAGGGUUCGAUUUUCUUCUGAAAAACUACUUAUUUUGAUUUUCUUCUGUAACUUUCCAAACCUUAAGUAAAUGUUUCUUUAGAUUUCUGAUUCAAUUGUAAAUCCUAACUAAUUUUUGUUUUGAUUUUAGUUUCAGACACCCCAAGUUUCAGAUAGGGCAUCUGUUUAGGUAAGGUUUACGAAUCUUUAGCUCGUGAUGGAAAGGUUAGAGGGAAAACUCUAGCUAAACUAGACAAGAAAACCAGCCUACUGCUAGAGCUCAUAUGAGGAAUCUAACAACUGCCGGCUUGGAGCAAUGGAAGAAUGCAUGCAACCAAACACAGAGUAAUGGUGAAAGGAGAAAAAGAUAGUUAUAUGGAUACUCUUAUGGAUCCUCUGCUAUUUCUGCCUUUUAACUGCAGAGAUUAUAUUCUGUAUCUUAGGGCCAAUUUCUACCUUGAUUCUGCACUUGAUACCUUUGCCGGUACUGUUGGAGGAGCAGUUUGAUCACAAUGCAACAUUCUUUCGCAUCUCUUAUCUUAUUAUCGGUACUUUGUAGCAUGCAUGCAAGUGAAAACCCACCACAAAUUCGUGCUUGAGAGUAAUUUGCGAUUUCAUUGCAUAUUGAAAUGUUUCGUUCUCAGUAUCUUUUUACAUGAGUUUUAUUUAUUAAUAAUUGGUUUUCUAAUGAUUCAUUUAUAGUUCACACGGAAAUGAUUACUGGUCACUAAGGUCUAAUCUCUAAGUGGGUACUUCAUUGACCAACUAUUGAUUCGGUUGACUAACAGCUGACUUGGUUAAACAUUUCUAUGUUGAUGUCAGUUUGUUUACUCGUAAGAUUGAUUGUAAUAUCUAGCCAUUCGUUACUUUUGCAGUUUGGAGACUUUCAUCUGAGGAACCUUAUUAGUGAUGUCAGGUUUCUAAGGCUCCACCGACCUCUGAAACGGCAUUUGGAGUGUAUCCAAAGACGCAUUUCGUUAGAAAUAUCGACUCAGUGCUACAACAUCCUCCAAACGCAAAAUGUUAUUGGAGUAUUGGAUUGUUAUAGUGCAAGGGUUCAAGCAACGUGCAACAGGGAACAUGGAUGAUCCAUUUCUAAUCCCUGGUAUAUAUUUGAUAAGAAGCAGCUGCCUGUAGGUAAUAGACUUGCUCGGAAACUUGUUCAACGACCCUUUUUGAGGCGGCAGCUAGGGAAUCGAGGCUUGGUGGUGUUCCCUAUAAAAUGGCGGAAAGCAUGUGGCUCCAUGCUCAUCUUAUCCAAGAUUUGAUCUCUAUUUCUCGAACAAGUGUUCCUAAAUACCCGAGUUGGAUACUUCGCUGUCGUUGAUGACUUGGAGCUCGACUAAUUUUCAGCGAGACAAUGAAGUGGGUGUUGCUCUCUUUGCAACUGAUGGUAAUUUCCUGAGAUCCUGUAAGAACGUUGAAUUUGGAUUCAAGACUGCCCGAGAACCUGUUGAAGAUCUGUGAUAACCCUUGAAUACUUAAGUGAAAAUCAUAGUGGGAGAAGAAACUUGGACAUUGUGGCUUUCAUUGUAGUUUUCUUAUGGCACCCUUUUCCAGCCAACGGCGGAAAAUCUGAAUUAAUACAACUCUGAAUCCAGAAAUGCAACUUAAAUGUAUGAAUUCAUUAUAAUUGAAUACUUUAUUUUUUUGUGAUUUUGAAUCCAAGUAUGAAUUCAGUUAUGAAGUGUUAAGAGUGCAGUCAUGAAUUGGUGUAACAAUGAAUUUUUAUUUGAAUUUAUAAAUCCAGGUCUGAUUUUAGUAUAA